CUUCCGAUCUCUUGGAGUCUACUAAAUAAAAGAAGGGAGAAUUGAAAGAAAGAUUGGGUAGAGAAGUUACGAAAGUCUAGCGCAUUGAGAGGAAGGAGGGAAACAUGAUUUAGUAGAAUUAUAAAGACUCUAAUAAUGAGCAUAAUUUUACAAUAGUUAUUGUAUUAGUUUUGGUUUUGAUGAUGAUAUUUUAUUUUAGUGCAAAUUCUUAAAUUUACGAAUUCUUCAAAAAAGUGUGAAGUCCCGUUUGAAUCUUUAGAACUUAAUUUAAAUUUAGAUAAUAUUUAGGUUCUGUUAAUGUUUGUUGUCAAGGUUAUGUUGUAGAUUAAGAUGUUCUAUUUUAUAUUUGUAUUGGUUAACUGAGUUGAGCCUGAAGAGGAUGUAUUAACAUAUUGAAAGCAUUUAUUUAAUAAAUAUGAACUUUAUUACAUACUGCAGAAUGUGCUGUUUGUGAUUCUAAUUAAUGAAUAAUGGUUAAUGCAAUUUUAAACUUAAGGAAGUGAUAGUAAGAUGACCAACUUUUUCUAGAGCCACUCCAUGAUACACACUUACCAGAUUUAUCAGGAAACAUCCAGACAUGUGACAUUGUUUCCAUAUGUGUUUUCACAUUCUUCUCUCCACAUUGCCCAAUAACAAAUUUUUUAAUAUAUAUUGUAUAAUAUGCUCUGUUUUUGUUAUUUAUCUCUAUUCUAGUUGUAUGUAUUUUUCAUUUGUUAUUAAAGUGACUCAGAUGUUGACCCAGACAUUACUAAAAAAAAAAGAAGAUUUUAUUGAUAUUGCAAUCAUUAUAAUUUUUGUUAUCUGAAUUGUAAAACAGUCACAAUUCACAAGAUUUGCAAUGUUAAAAAUUAAAUAAAAAUUUAAUAUUAUCUUGAUAUAAUAUCUUCUGUGUGGUUUAACAUCUCUUCAUCUAGUAGAUAUCAACUAAAGGAACAUUCCAGUGCCACCACAGAGUGCCCAAAUUUUUAAGAGAUCAGCUGUUAGAUGGAGGAUAGGAUUUAAUGAGCUGGGCCUGGACUUUUGAAAAAUUUGGGGAUGUGGAACAGGGACUUCAGUCUCUUUCAACUGAUAUAAAAUUCAAUACUGGUAGGUAAAGUUUAAGACUGCCUGUUAUUAAUCAUAGGUCCACAAUAAUAAUGCUCUUAAUUUCAAAGGAGAGCAUGAUAAACAAUGUGUGAUCUAUUAAAUUAUAAAUUAAUAGUUUUGCGUUAAUCAUAAAUACUUAUUAACCCUACAACUGCCAGCUGCCGAUUUAAUCGGCCGACAGGCCGUUCGCGAACUG
RNAcentral lists this long non-coding RNA (1282 nucleotides) under Androctonus crassicauda. Lineage: Eukaryota; Metazoa; Arthropoda; Arachnida; Scorpiones; Buthidae. The record is from RNAcentral.